Molecule: ribosomal RNA, 747 nt
Filed under: Natronococcus occultus
Lineage: Archaea; Methanobacteriati; Methanobacteriota; Halobacteria; Halobacteriales; Natrialbaceae
Description: bacterial SSU rRNA
Rfam family: Archaeal small subunit ribosomal RNA
Source: RNAcentral
GGUGGAAACUGCCUGGCUUGGGACCGGAAGACCAGAGGGGUACGUCUGGGGUAGGAGUGAAAUCCCGUAAUCCUGGACGGACCACCGGUGGCGAAAGCGCCUCUGGAAGACGGAUCCGACGGUGAGGGACGAAAGCUCGGGUCACGAACCGGAUUAGAUACCCGGGUAGUCCGAGCUGUAAACGAUGUCUGCUAGGUGUGCCACAGGCUACGAGCCUGUGGUGUGCCGCAGGGAAGCCGUGAAGCAGACCGCCUGGGAAGUACGUCCGCAAGGAUGAAACUUAAAGGAAUUGGCGGGGGAGCACUACAACCGGAGGAGCCUGCGGUUUAAUUGGACUCAACGCCGGACAUCUCACCAGCAUCGACAGUAGGAGUGACGGUCAGUGUGAUGAGCUUACCAGACCUACUGAGAGGAGGUGCAUGGCCGCCGUCAGCUCGUACCGUGAGGCGUCCUGUUAAGUCAGGCAACGAGCGAGACCCGCACUCCUAAUUGCCAGCAACACCCUUGUGGUGGUUGGGUACAUUAGGAGGACUGCCAGUGCCAAACUGGAGGAAGGAACGGGCAACGGUAGGUCAGUAUGCCCCGAAUGUGCUGGGCAACACGCGGGCUACAAUGGUCGAGACAGUGGGAUGCAACCCCGAGAGGGGGCGCUAAUCUCCGAAACUCGAUCGUAGUUCGGAUUGCGGACUGAAACUCGUCCGCAUGAAGCUGGAUUCGGUAGUAAUCGCCGUUCAGAGACCGCCGUGA